Molecule: ribosomal RNA, 497 nt
Filed under: uncultured bacterium
Lineage: Bacteria
Description: partial 16S ribosomal RNA
Rfam family: Bacterial small subunit ribosomal RNA
Source: RNAcentral
GAUGAACGCUGGCGGCGUGCCUAAUACAUGCAAGUCGAGCGAACGGACGAGAAGCUUGCUUUUCUGAUGUUAGCGGCGGACGGGUGAGUAACACGUGGAUAACCUACCUAUAAGACUGGGAUAACUUCGGGAAACCGGAGCUAAUACCGGAUAAUAUUUUGAACCGCAUGGUUCAAAAGUGAAAGACGGUCUUGCUGUCACUUAUAGAUGGAUCCGCGCUGCAUUAGCUAGUUGGUAAGGUAACGGCUUACCAAGGCAACGAUGCAUAGCCGACCUGAGAGGGUGAUCGGCCACCCUGGAACUGAGACACGGUCCAGACUCCUACGGGAGGCAGCAGUAGGGAAUCUUCCGCAAUGGGCGAAAGCCUGACGGAGCAACGCCGCGUGAGUGAUGAAGGUCUUCGGAUCGUAAAACUCUGUUAUUAGGGAAGAACAUAUGUGUAAGUAACUGUGCACAUCUUGACGGUACCUAAUCAGAAAGCCCCGGCUAACUACGUG